AAAAGGUGUUUUGAAUGGAAGGGGUUCUUUUAGAACCAAUGAUUGAAUCCAAACCAUAAGGUCGUUAGUAGGGUACUACGACGUAAUGGGGCGAUAGCUCAAGCCAUGGAAUCAAGGUCUCAUCAAAGUAUUCGAACACAAUAAAGAGACAUCAUCAAAUGUUUUGGAAACAUUUGAUAAGUGAAUCCCUUUUGAAUAAUAAAAGGGAUUAAUACAUAACCAAGUUAACCUACGAGCAU
Molecule: long non-coding RNA, 239 nt
Filed under: Malus domestica (apple)
Lineage: Eukaryota; Viridiplantae; Streptophyta; Magnoliopsida; Rosales; Rosaceae
Description: long non-coding RNA (MDOM_LNC015316)
Source: RNAcentral